Molecule: ribosomal RNA, 358 nt
Filed under: uncultured bacterium
Lineage: Bacteria
Description: partial 16S ribosomal RNA
Rfam family: Bacterial small subunit ribosomal RNA
Source: RNAcentral
AGAGUUUGAUCCUUGGCUCAGAACGAACGCUGACUGGCNUGGAUCAGACAUGCNAGUCGAACGGGAUUUGUUUUGCUAGCANUUACAAGGCAGGUCUAGUUGGCGUAAGNCGGUGCGUNAAUCACCGUUGGNAUAUCUGCCGGGAAAUGGGGGAUAGCUCGCCGAAAGNCNAAUUAUUACCUGCUAAGUGGCUAUCGAAGGAUUCUUCGAGACGCCAAAGUCGGUUGUAGCAAUACAGCUGACGUUUCCCGAUGAGCCCGCGGCCUAUCAGCUAGUUCGGUGAGGUAACGGCUCACCAAGGCUAUGACGGGUAGCUGGUCUGAGAGGACGACCAGCCACACUGGAAACUGAGACACGG